AUGACAGCCGGCGCGUGGCCGGCGGCCGCCGCGGCGGCGCGCGCGGCGGUGCGCACGCUCGGGCGCCUCGUCCCCCGCACCCACACCCACUCCACCGCCGCCACCACCAACUCCUCCCCCUCCUCCCCGGCGCACACCCUGGACGACUACAACCGCCUGCUGGCGGCCCUGGCGCGGGACGGGGACGGCGAGUCGGCGCUCCGCGUGCUCCGCCGCAUGCGCCACGGCUUGCCCGCGGCCUGCGCGCCCACGGCCGCCUCCUACGUCUCCGCCAUGUCGGCGCUCGCCAAGGCCGGCCGCGCCGCCGACGCCACGGCGCUCUUCGACGACAUGCUCGCGCACGGCGUGGCGCCCGACCGCCGCGCCUACUCGCUCCUCCUCCACGUCUACUCCACCCACCUCGGCCUCCCCGCCGCCGGCCUCUCCGUGCUGCACUGGAUGUCCGGCCUCGGCGUCCGCCCCAGCGCCGUCGACUACGCCGACCUCAUCUUCUCCUUCUGCCGCGCGGGCCAGCUCCCGGACGCGCUCCAGCUGCUCGACGAAAUGCGCGAGCUCGGGUACCCGCUCCCCCCGCACGUCUACUCGCCGAUACUCCAGGCCCACUGCGACGCCGCCGACAUCCCGGCCGCCGAGGCGCUCAUCGCCUUCAUGCGCGCCUCCGGGGGCCGCUCCGGGUGCAACCCCGACGUCGUCAUCUACAACAUCUACAUCCACGGGCUGUGCAGGGUCGGGGACUUCCAUGCCGUGCAGAGGGUUAUCAACGACAGCGUCUGGAACUGGUGGGUGCCGGACGCGGUGACCUACAGCACCUACGUUGCCGGGCUCUGCCGGGCUGGGUACAUCGAGGACGCGUUCAGGCAGCUGGACAUCAUGGUCGCCAAGGGGCUACAGCUCACCGUGGUCGGCCUCAACAUACUGCUGGAUUACGCCGCCAAGGAUGUAGAUAUGUGGGUUGCCAAGGAGGUGAUGGAGCGCUGCGAAGAGCUGGGCUUCGAGGUCGACGUCGUGACGUACAACACGGUCAUGGAACAUUUCUCCAAGAAGAUGCAGUGGCUGAUUGCCCUCAGGCUGUUCACCGAUCUGCUCAAGAAGCCCAUAACACCCGAUGUGCAGACGUACAACAUCUUGAUCUCAUCCCUGUGCCGAGCCGGCAAGUUUGAGCUCGCCAAGUUCGUCUUCAGUUGCAACGGGUUUGUGGCGGACACCGUCACCUGUAACAUUCUGAUCCAUCAGUUCUACGGUGCUGGAAAGGAGGGUGAGCUUGGGUUCUUGUUCUCCGAUGUUGACGCAGGGAAGAUUACCCCAGAUACAAUCACAUACAACACGCUGGUCGAUUGCCUCUUUAGGUCUGGGAGGAGGACCGAGGCUGCCAAUCUGGUCAGGCACAUCGAUGGCGGCUACCCUGCGGAGCCCGUAGCGCAUCUGGCUUUCUGGUUGGUUAGGAGCGGAAAUGUUCGAGAGGCUUUGAGUCUGUUUGAUGACAUGCUAGUGAAAGGAGUCGCUUUAGAUGCUAUGGUUUUCGCCAAUGUGAUCAAGGCAUUCUGCAGAAAGGGUCCAGGGGAGUGCACAGAUAUGACACAGCUGUGCUCUGUGCUGGAUAGGAUGCUUGGGAUUGGAUGA
This 1620-nucleotide ribosomal RNA is filed under the name Triticum aestivum (bread wheat). RNAcentral describes it as "partial small subunit ribosomal RNA". Lineage: Eukaryota; Viridiplantae; Streptophyta; Magnoliopsida; Poales; Poaceae. The record is from RNAcentral.